CCUACGGGAGGCAGCAGUGAGGAAUAUUGGUCAAUGGACGAGAGUCUGAACCAGCCAAGUAGCGUGAAGGAUGACUGCCCUAUGGGUUGUAAACUUCUUUUAUAAAGGAAUAAAACGAGGCACGUGUGCCUUUUUGCAUGUACUUUAUGAAUAAGCAUCGGCUAACUCCGUGCCAGCAGCCGCGGUAAUACGGAGGCUCCGAGCGUUAUCCGGAUUUAUUGGGUUUAAAGGGAGCGUAGAUGGGUUGUUAAGUCAGUUGUGAAAGUGUGCGGCUCAACCGUAAAAUUGCAAUUGAUACUGGCAGUCUUGAGUACAGGUGAGGUAGGCGGAAUUCGUGGUGUAGCGGUGAAAUGCUUAGAUAUCACGAAGAACCCCGAUUGCGAAGGCAGCUUACUAGACUGUGACUGACAUUGAUGCUCGAAAGUGUGGGUAGCAAACAGGAUUAGAUACCCCAGUAGUC
This 460-nucleotide ribosomal RNA is filed under the name uncultured bacterium. RNAcentral describes it as "partial 16S ribosomal RNA". It matches the Rfam family "Bacterial small subunit ribosomal RNA", at positions 338 to 795 of the family's 1533-position model. The record is from RNAcentral.